GUCUAUGGCCAUACCACCCUGAACACGCCCGAUCUCGUCUGAUCUCAGAAGCUAAGCAGGGUCGGGCCUGGUUAGUAUUCGGAUGGAAGAUACCACCAACAGCACCUGGCACCAGGAAGG
Bos taurus (domestic cattle) is the source of this 120-nucleotide non-coding RNA. The record is from Rfam. NCBI's taxonomy places the organism in Eukaryota, Metazoa, Chordata, Mammalia, Artiodactyla, Bovidae.